This is an RNA transcript of Sapajus apella (tufted capuchin), 684 nucleotides long. It is a transcript of the gene named histone H2B type 1-F/J/L-like, with no coding region annotated. The record is from RefSeq and is a predicted model, not a curated record. The transcript has a single exon. NCBI's taxonomy places the organism in Eukaryota, Metazoa, Chordata, Mammalia, Primates, Cebidae.
AAAAACCUCUUGUCUAGCGACCGGGAAAGUCGCCGAAUGUGCCGCCGCCUCACCCUUUUAUACACAGAACGGCGAUUGUCCAUGGAGCACUUUGAUUGGCUCAAGCACAGUUUGCGCAAAUGGCCAAUAGGACAGCUCCGCCAGAAUCCACUCAUUUACAUAAUCUCGUCUCCCUGGCGUUGGGCGCCGCGGAAAACUCGCGAAGCACAACGCAGCGUCUUGGGAGCUUUCAUGUGCGCUCAAGGCUCCCUAAGUGCAAGUGCAUCGUGGCUUCCGGUGGAACCCGGUCCCGCGGCGCGGCGGUGCUUGCGUCCUUGGGGGGCUGUGUCGCCAGUGCGUCGGGCCGUGCCCGAGCCUGCAAAGUCCGCCCCGCCUCCCAAGGUCACCAAAGUGCAGAAGAAGGACCGCAAGAAGCGCAAGCGCAGCCGCAGGGAGAGCUGCUCCGUGUGGGUCCGCCCGACACCGGCAUCUCGUCCCAGGCCGUGGGCAUCUUGAACUCUUUCCUCAACGACAUCUCUGAGCGCAUCGCGUCGGAGGCGUCCUUGCCCGGCGCACUACAACAAGGGCUCCACCGUCACAUCGCGCGAGAUCCAGACCGCCGAGGGCUUGCUGCUGCCCGGCCCGCUGGCCAAGCACGGCGUGUCCGAGGGCACCAAGGCGCUCACCGAGUACGCCAGCUCCAAG